This 43250-nucleotide long non-coding RNA is filed under the name Elaeis guineensis (African oil palm). RNAcentral's name for it is "long non-coding RNA (EGUI_LNC018958)". The record is from RNAcentral. Lineage: Eukaryota; Viridiplantae; Streptophyta; Magnoliopsida; Arecales; Arecaceae.
ACUGGACAACAAAUUUUUGAAGGGAAGCCUCCCAGCUAAUAUAGCAUGUUUUGUUUCCAAACAGUAGGAUUCUUGUGAAGAUUAUCUAUAAGGAGAUUAAAGGCUUUUGGCUUUGAGCUUUACAUAUAUGGAUUCCCCUAAAUGAUGCUUACAUUAGCUGGGACGGUACAGGGUGUGCACCUGAUAAUCAUUUUCCUAGAGGUUGCUUAUGCAACUACAAAGGGAUAGUUGAUUGGGUUUUGGGUGCAUUGAGAGAUUGCUCCACUCAUCCUUCAUACUCGAGAGCCUCCUUAAGUUUCAAAAAGUCCUGUAGAAGAGCUCUGAAGAAAAUUGUAAGAUCGUUAGCAGUAGCUACCAAAAGACUGCCUUCUAAGCACUAGUAGAUUCUGCCUCCAUAAGCGUGCCCUAUCCCUCUGAUGUUUGCAUAUUUGACUUUUGAAAGAAAAAAGGGAAGAAAGCUUUUAUUUUAAGUACUCUUCAAUUACCUUCUUAACCAAAAGCAUAAUAGUAGUGCAGACUGAAGGAGAAGAAAUCUGAAUAUAAUCAAUCAAUCAAUAUUUUCUACUUAUUUAUGAAAGAAACUUACCUUCUUAACCAAAAGCAUAAUAGUAGUGCAGACUGAAGGAGAAGAAAUCUGAAUAUAAUCAAUCAAUCAAUAUUUUCUACUUAUUUAUGAAUGAAAUAUUCUAGUGUCUAAAAACGAACACAAAAACUUGGAUAACAAUAAACUGCAAUAGGGUUUGCAGUAAGGAAAACCCUACUCUGACCCCAUUUUGAGGGAAGUAGAAGAGGAGUCAGAUGAUGGAUAAAUAUCAAGGGCUUCAUAGGGAUAUACAAGUGGAGGGUCAAUAAAACCAAAAGAUGGAGGAGGUUGCUGCAGGUCAAUUAAGAGUUGUUUUCAGCUGUUUUCUUUAAUGAGCUUAGUGGCAAUUUUUCUAAAAUCUCAAGUAUGUUUUAUGAACUGCAUGAGGUUUCUGUCUGACGUCUAUAAAUAGUUGUUUCCAUCUGAAAUCUACGAGAACUUGGCUAGAGUUUAAGUUUUCUCAUUGUUUGGUCUUUUCUGAAUUCACGUGACUUCAGAAACUUGUCUUGCUUUGAAGCAUUUUAAAGUUUUUGUCCAGCCUCUUUUAAUUGCUUUGACAUCAGUACAUGAUUUGGUUAAUUCUAUUUGAGCCUAUUCUCUUGAUGGAAAUGUGCAACAAUAGAAUAGCAAGCAUAAUUUAUUUAGCAAUAUGAGACUUUAAUAUGUAUAUCAUUUUCGUAUAGAUAAGUGUAAAUUAUGUAUAUUUUAAGUAGGUCUAGAAAAUCUCAUUUGCUAAUGUAUUUGGGUGAUUACUAUGCUGUUUGUAUUUUCCACAAAACUAAAACAAACAAUUUCAGGGACCUUUUUGGCUUUUACCUUUUCUCUGUACUGUGGUGCUCAUGCCUUUAUCUAUACUCUUCAUUUUGUGAAUUUUUGUACCAUCUUUUUAAAAUUAAAAGAUAUUAGGAGAACAAAACCAGAUACGAUCUGGAAAACACCAUGAAAUUCUUGUGCGCAUAUACACAUAAGGAGAAAAAAUGAAAGUUUAGAUGCUCAUGGGAUGUAGAAGGAUAUAUUAAAUGUCAAAUAUGUAUUAAGGCCCUGCUCUGGAUGCUGAUGCACAUUCAUGAAUUUUAAGUUCCCUAGUUGUUUGUGGAUUGAGGAGGUGGCCUGUUUGUUUGAAGCAACAACCUUCUUCUUGUUGUUGUUGUAUUUGUAUUCUUUGUUGUCUGUAGUUGUUCUUCAUGUUCUUAGUUUAAACACCAGGCUGUGGUGUCUAUUUCCUAAAUCACCUUUCAAAGAAAAUUUGAUUCAGAUCAAUACUUAUCCUGUGUACUUUGUUGGUUUUCCUCGCAUGGAAUUUGUAUUGAGGUAAGGCAUAAAGAAAAAUGAUGCCUGUGAUCUGCAAAACAAUGGCAGUUGAAAAAAGAAACCGUGAACUCCCUAAACUGUGUACAAGAACCUUGCUGGUUUCUGUUGCAGAUAUGUCGUACAAUGGAAGCUUUUUUGCCAUGCUUACAUGCUGUAACAUUCCCCUAACUUAUGCCAUCUAUGCCUGGGUGUCUGGCCAUGUGAAAUAAAGGAAAAUGAUGCCCAAAUUGAUAUGAAAUAGAUAAAACACGGUUUAUAGAAAAAUGAUACCUGGAAGAAUCUGGAAAUUAGUGGCAGCAGGAAAAAAUUGAGAAAUCCCCAAAAUAUGUAAGCAUACGUUGCUAGCUUCUGAUGCAGAUGUGUUGUGCAGUAGUAGCUUUCUUUGACAUGCUUUCAUAUCCCUACCUUUUAACCAAGGUUCUUGUAACUGAUACUUGGACCGAUAGGCAUGGUAUGAUGUGGGUCUGCACUGUGCUGCAGACAUUUUGGCCUCUUUUUUUUUUUCUCCGUUUCAGAUUUUAAUAAAGCUGGCAAAGGAUGUGCUGACUUUAAUUUAAAAUUAGAAAAUAAAAACCACUCUCCUGUUCUGAAACAAAGAGUUGUUGGUGGGGGGGGGUUGGGAAGAGGGGGGGACAAGGAGAGGAAGAGAGAGAGAGGAGGGGUAGGGAGGGGAGGGGGAGAGAGAGAGAGAGAGAAGGAGAGCGUNUAGAACGCCNNNNNNNNNNNNNNNNNNNNCCUUUGAUGCCUCUCGCCAUCGAGGUCCAAGCAUGGGGGGGAGGUGUGGAAUCGAUCGAAACAACAGGAUUUUUUCUUUUUUUCUUUUUUUGUUUUUUUGUGGGGGUGGGGCGGGGGGGGAGCAGUUAUAUUGAACCGAAUUUAUGGUUUGAACCGUGUCGGUAGUUGACUGGGCCAGUUCGGCAUGGUUUGGCCUUCUCUGCUUUUAACAGCAGUAGCUUUCUUUGACAUGCUUGCACAUCCCUUCCUUUUAACCGCCACUCCAAAUCUGGGUGUUCUAGCUGUAUGGAAGUCUUGCAUAUCAUUCAUGAUUAGAGACCAAGGAUUCAUGGCCCAGUGUCGUACCAUUCUAUCAAGAUAAUGGUACCUGGAAUGUCCCUAGGACACUAAUUACCAGGAUGACUGUAGUGUCCUAGGUGGUACUAGGAAGGAUGGACCAUGAUGGAUUGGGGCAGUUGCAUCCCAACACUUGGGACAGCCUAUCAUUCCAGGUUACAAUUUAUUUCUUCUUCAUUCGUGUUGCAAAUGGUUGCAUCUGUUUGUGCCAACCUGUCCUAGAACCAUACAGGCCUUGGACUAGAUGGGGCUGCCUACCAGUACUGAGGCUAAUCCUUGCUUGAGACAUAUGCCAUGUAUUCUUGCAGGUACUCUAGAUACUUUUUUGUGAAUAUCCAUCAAUUUUCACCCUAUUUGGUGUUCAGGAUUGUUGAGGAGAGCACCUAAUGUAGGUGUUGGUCCAUUUGAUGAUUAGGAGGCCGAGUGGAUUCUAUUGUGUUUGUCAUUCAAAGUUUCUAUCCCAACCCAUCCUGAUAUUCUCCUCUCCUUUUUUUUUGUUUAUAUUUAAAGCAUUGGAAGGUCCAGGCUUUAUGAAUGAAGAUAACAAGAUUCAUUCAUUGCUUAUUAUAGAAGCUUGUUUUGGAGGUUAAUCUACCAAAAUUAUCAUGUUAUUGUGCAGAGAUGCUUAUCAAAGCUAAAUCUUAGUGCUUUUUUUGAGUAGGCAAAACACUUUUUACAUUUUCGACACACAGUAAAAGAGAAAUAUUAGAAUUAGGAUAAACCCAAAACAAGAGCCAGACCAGUGCAUGAUCAAUCUAGGGGAAACAGCAGAGAUCAAAGUGACAAGCUAAAUGCUGACUUAAACUAACUUUAAGAAAUGAUACUUUUCUGACAUUGUGUGCUACUGGUGUAGUGCUGAAGCAUAAGCUACUGUUUCUGCUCUUGUUUUUGAAGUGGCGUGUUUUACAAAUCUGGCCAGCUGUCUGCAGCAUGAGAGAUCACUAUUGGAUGGUUGAAUAUUCAACAUUGAACUUUUGAUAGUAUGAUCAUUCUGCUCAAUGUUUUUUAAUUGGUGCAUUUUACAAAGUUUGCCAGCUAAAUUUGCGGCAUACAAGAUCAUUUUGGAUGAGUGAGUUCUGGAAUUUGAUUUUUCAGUAGUAUGAUCUCUACUCACGAGUGCAGACAUCGAAGUAACAGGUUAAUUAUGAGAAACUGCAAUUAGUGACAUUUUGUUUGGUGCAAGCCAACCAUUAUGGUUUUUCUUAGUAUGGGCGGCUGCCUGAAGUUUUCCCUUAAUACUAAAAGUAGCAUGUAGAAGAACAGCAAUUUAAUCGUAUUUUCCUUUUGCUUCAUUUAGUUAUGGGACAAUUCUCUUUCAGUUAUUGAUAUAUUUUAUAUGCAUGUAUAUAUGGGUGACCUGUGUUUCACAUCUUGUUUUGUUUGGUUGAUAAACUCUAAAUGCUCUAGAUGUUUGAAUAUUUUACUGUUUAUGCUUGAAUAUUUAGUUGCAAAUAAGCAAAAUAGAAUUAAUUGCUGGAUUGCUGCAUUUUGGUGCACUUAAUAGUAUAAAGCUAAUAUGCUUCCUUUUUCAUUUAUUUGAGGUUUAUUUUUUGCAUUUCUAGAAAUUGUGAUAAUGAAAAUGAUGGUUUGUUGCAGAAUAUACCUGUUUUUUUUAACCUUUGGAAUCUCUUAAUUUUUCAUGAUUUUAAAACAUUUUUAAAGAAAAUAUAAUUAACAUGAAAUAGUUGUAUCUAGAAAUUCAUGUAGGCACACAUUCUUAUGUUCGUUCUUAUAUUUAUCAAUAAAAAACUAGAAUAUGGCGUCAAACUGUCAGAAGUCAAAUGUCAUUGUGUUUAAUUUAUGUGCUUGCAAUUUUUUUUUUUUAAAUUUAAGCCUUUUGGAAGUUUUGUGCUUUCUCUACUUGUUCUUAUAUAUGAACAACUCCUGUCUUCUUGUACUGCUAUAUGCUGAUUUAAACUUUUCCUUCUGUAAUGUUGCUAGACAAGAAACUGUAAAAGCCUGAUUUCACAUAUUGUCUCCUUGAGUAACCCUGUUAUUUUUUAAGGGUUUAGAUAGAUUUUUUUGUGUUCUGAACAAUGGCAACUCCUAAGGGAGGAUAAUACCAUGCUUGUUUCUUGAUACCAUGCUAUAUAAUUAGAUUAUCCUGGAAGGUCAUGUUAUAGGUUCUUCAAGUUUAUCUGUUCUUUGAUGGGCAUGUUGAAUAUGAUUACAUAGUAAUUGCUAAUAUGUUCGUCAAUCACUGUGCUACCAGGCCAAUACCCUGAGAAAAUGGAAAGAUAUAUUCAUCCCACAUGGACUUGAGAAAUUUUGUAGGUAUCGUGAACAACAAUGGUGCAGAAGAGGCUGCUGAAAAUCCGCAUGGUGCAGCGUGUCUUCCAACCGAAGGCUCCGAAUGGGUUGAGCUGUUUGUGAGAGAAAUGAUGAAUGCCGCUGACAUGGAUGAUGCAAGGACUCGUGCCUCCAGAGUGCUGGAGGUUCUGGAGAAGUCCAUUGUCACUUGUGCUAAUGCUGAAGCAAUGCAAAACUUUCACAAGGUAUCUUAUGCUUCUUUAUAGCAAGUAUGACAUUGUCGUUGUAAACAGAAAUGGAGGCACGACAUUUAGGUUGCGUUUGGUAGCUGGCAAUCUAUCCAGAUUGCUGACGAUUUAAAGGAGCCCCAUUAGAUUAUCACGUUUGGUAUGUUUUUUGGAUUGGUAAUCCAGAUUAUUAGGUAAUCUCGAUUAUCUCUUAUGAGGUAAUCUGGAUUACCAAGGGGAGGGGUGGUUAUCCAGGUUACCAUUACUUUGAUAAUCUUGCAAUAAAAUUUUUGGAUGAAACCGCCCUCCUCCCCUCCCCCCUCCUGGUGCGGCGCCACCCAUCGCUCGCCUAUGCCUCCCCUUCCCGUGCGGCGCCACCCAUCGCUCGCCUAUGCCUCCGACGGCAAGGCCGCCUCCUACGCCGCCAUCACGGCUCUCGCCGUUAUCCUUUCCGCCGCCACCACCUAUCCCAUUGUCUUCUUCCUCACGAUGGGCAGCGGAAAGAGGGGGGGCCAAAACUGGCGCCUUUCUCUACAAAAUCCAGUCGACGGCCGUUAGAAACCAGUCGAUCGGUGGGCUGUCGUCGUCUCCUUGACGGCAGCCGCCGGCAAUCAAGGGGAAACUGUCGGUCUAUUGAGAUCUGGCGGUCUCAAGAGGAUGAUCGUGCAUGAAAAGAGGAGACAGUCGGUCGGUCAUCUUUUUCCUCACCUCGCCGCCUUCUUCCACCGACACAGCCUUCGGUGGGGUGGGUGAGGGCGGUAGCACGGGUGGGUGAGGGCAGCGAUGGAGGCAGCCGUGGGGGGCGUGGGGUGCGGGUUCGCUGGAGGCCCAGGGGGCAGUGUUGGAGGGUGGGAGGAGGCACGGAUGCUCGGGGGGCGGUGCCGGAGGUGCGAUGGCUGGGGGGUGGUGCCGGAGGUGCGACAACGCGGAGGGGGGGGCGGAGGGGGCGGCGGGGGGUGUGGCAUGCGAGGGAAGGAAAAGGAAGGGAAAAAAAUAAAAAUAAUAAAAAUAAUAAUAAUAAGUAUUAAAAAAUAAUAAAAAAAUUAAAUAAUUUGAUUAUUUAAUUAAAAAAUAUUUUUUUCAUAUAAUAAUUUUAUUAUUAAAAAAUUAAAUAAAUAUUUUAAAAUGCUAAAUUAAUAAUAAGGGUAUUUUGAAAAUUUGAUGUUAUAUUAUCGAUAAUCUGAUUGUCAUAUCAAAUAUAUCAGUUAAGAUUUUCAAUAAUUUUACUGCAACAUUAUCUGCAUGUACCAAACACAGUAAUCAACAUUACUGGCAAUCUAUCUAGAUUGCAGAUAAUCUCGAUUACCAGGUAAUCCAGAUUAUCACUGCCUGGCAAUGCAUCAAACGCAACCUUAUGAUUUUUGCUAUAGUCAAUAUAUUUCUUUUUUUGGAUGUCUAACAUACCUCUCCAUCAAACUGAGGAACUCAUAUGGUCAAGAUCAGUUUGCUUCUGAAAACUUCUGUAUGUGAAAUAGGAAAAUGUGAUGCUGAAGGAACAAGUUGAAGUCCUGCUAAGGGAGAACGCUGUUCUGAAGCGAGCUGUGGCAAUUCAGCAUGAACGUCAGAAAGAGUACGAUGAGAGAAGCCAAGAGCUGCAGCGUCUGAAACAGCUGGUGUCCCAGUAUCAAGAGCAAUUGAGAACGCUGGAGGUAGGCAAGUCUGCCAUUCAUCUGGAUGUUCUGCUUUUGCCUCAACAAAGGCCUUAAUGAAUUCUUUGCUCUCUUGUUGCAUGGCAGGUCAAUAACUAUGCACUUACAAUGCACCUCAGACAGGCUCAGCAAAGCAGCUCUAUUCCAGGACACUUCCAUCCUGAUGUCUUUUAAGAUGGAUGAGCUGCCUGCCCUUUCCCAGUUUAUCGUAUGUCUGCUUACUGUUCUGUCAAAAAUAAGUUGCUAUCUUUGUGUGCAAGUAUAUCAACAUACAUACAACCUAUAUAUCAACAUAUUUAGAACCUUCUGUCUUUUUUUUUUUUGUUGAAUGCAAUAAAAAGAUAUUGAACUGUCAUUAUAACUGUCACAAUUUGCAUCAAUGGUGGGUUAGAUCUCGUAGCAGGAAGAGGAGCUCCAUUCUUUUUGGUAGCAGUUAGAACUAACUCAUCCCAAAUCUGUGUUUCUAAUUCUUCUAGCAAUUUGCUUUUGUUAUGGACACAACACUGCAUUAUUUGGACCAGAAAUAUUUUCAGCCGUUAUUAUGUGCGCGUGCUAGGCAUGUGAGGUGUACAAGGGGAAGCAUGGAUGGCUAUGAAUCUAUGAUCACGUGAGAGAGAAUAUUGAUGGCUGUGACCCCCCAUCCAAUAAACACCAACUUUUAUCUGAGUCUUAUGCAAGGGUUGAAAAUUAUGUAAUGACAAGGGGUAUAUUUAGGGUUUCCAUCAAUCAACAGACUGCUGCACCUCAUUAAUAAUGCUCAGGGCCAUGGUUGAAGCCCUAGUAGUUUGUGUCAUAGUAGGAAUGUUAAUUGGUCGUUAGAGAAAUGUUGCAUGGCAAGACUUGUUGCUGAACGUUAUCCUCAAUUUUCUGGAAUGCCAUGGACACAAGAUGAUUGGGGUGAAUUACAAGGUUGGUGCAAUUCAAUAACAAAUAUGCUAAACCCAACAGACAGACUGUCAAGAGAGAUGCUAGCAGCUUUUCGGGAGGGAAGCACAAACGUUCUCGGGUGGUAAGUGCCUCUGUACAGUGCAUGUGGAGGAACAGUUAUUGAUAAUUCCCUAAGUUUAGAAGUAAUACUAUUAUGCAGUCCCUAAGUUAUAAGUAAUUGCAGAUUUAUAGAGUACAUUGAGGAGAGAUGAUGCUUGGAUGUGCCAUCUUUGAUGGUUCUUGUGUGCAUUAUGUUUGUUGGUUCCAGUCUGCUGAAACAGCCGCCGUGGUGCUGGUGGUGCUUGGGGAUAGCCACCUGACCACUUCAUUGAGUGCCUUUGUGUAGCAUCCUGUCAUGCCAAGGAAGAAUUAUGCUUGCAAACCAAUUGGUUGGCAGAAAGGGGUACCGUGUAUGUUUUUAAAUUCAUAGAUUUUCAUGUACGUCUGGUUUGUAUGUUGUAACCCCUCUAGGAUGAGAGGUGGUAUGCGCGUUUUGACAAAGAGGGGCUUGUAAUACAAUGUAACUUAUUUAAGUUUGGAUCAAGUUCCAAUUCAAGUCAGCUCAAGUUUAUUACAUCUUUGGCAUCUCUGGGUAUUUAUUGUGUUUCAAUGCAAUGCAAUAUAUGGGAAGGUGAUGCUUCAAGGACCUUGAAACAUUCCAACUCUUUGCUUCCAUCAGAUCUUUGAGCAUCAUUGUUUUGUCUUACUUUUUCUUGGACACUACUUCAUAUGUUCUUAUCACUUUGUUAAUUUCUUUUUGUACACAUCUAUCUUAUCUUAUGGCUGUAAGUGAUCCCAUGUAAACAGUUUCCUCCUUUAUUUUUUUACAGCUUUUAUCUCCUCGGUAACCCACCCCCGCCCCCUCCUCCCAAAAAAAAACGAAAAUCCCAUGUCUUUUUGUUUUAUAUGCUGCGAUUGGGACAUGUUUCAGUCCAUUGCAAUUUUACAAGACCGGAAUUUGAGCUGUUGCUUGUAGUCUAGGAGUGGUCAUUCUUAGAAUAGCUUCAUGGAUCUUGCUAACAUAUCGAGCUGAUAUAUCUACCAAAUGCGAACAGAAGAUUGAGGUAUUUUAACCUGACCUGUGCAUGAUUGAACCCAACCUGACGCGGUUUAAAUUUCAGGUCGGAGACCGUAACCAAUUAACUUUCAUAGGUCAGGUCAUGAAAAAGGUUUUAGAUGAACAGAGCUAGGGCUGGAAUUGAGCCUGGGCUGGCCUGAAGCCCAUUAGACCGGUCUAAUUUUGGGCCGAGCUUCGGGAUAGAUCCAAAAUAGUUUAGACCGGAUUUAGGUUUAAUUGUAGAGUCCAUUUGUCUUUUGGGUCGGACUCAGAUAUAUCUUUAGCCCCAGUAUGAAUCCGAAUCCAAACCCCAAUAAAACCAUCAAUAUUUUAAUUUCAUGGUGUAUAACACGCCAUGCUACCCCUUGUAUUUCCUCGAUUCCCAAUUACACGCUAUCCACCUGCAUAUGCUCCAUGAUUUGCCUGGGUUCACCUGCAACACGUCAAAUCCUACAGUAGGCAACAUGCAACGCUACCCCUUCAAUUUCACCGAUUCUCGAUUACCUGCUAACCACCAUGCACAUGCUCUCAGAUUUGCCCUAAAAUUUUUCUCUUUACCGCCCCUAACCCCAAGCCCCAGCCGUUCCCUAACCUCCUUAAGUGCUCCUACCUUUCGCUCACCUUAGUGUAGGAUGGUCACCAACACUAUAUCGGCAUUUGUCAUUAUCCAGUCUGUAAAACAAAGCUGCCGCCUCAACCUCUCCAACAGUGUUGGUGAGGUCCGUGGGCGGUCGUUUGACCACAGUCGUUGUUGCUCAGUUCUCACCGCCUGACUUUUCGCCACCCAUGCCCAACUGAUUCUAGAGGUUAGACCACCUCCAACAGUGACGGUAGAGGCGACGAACGGGGCCGCUGAUGCUAGACAUACUCUACUUCUGUGGCAUCCAUCUCCACCAAAUCAGAGCCUGACAGUGUUCAAUGUGAGCGGUGCCGCCAGGAAUGCCAUGCUAACGGCGACGGUGUGGGAGUUAGAGAGCAACACAAGCGGGUUUAGGGAUGGCAAAAUUAAUCCGACCCGAUGGGUAUACACCCUAUCCGAACCCGGUCAAACCCGAAAAAUAGGGUUUGACUGGGUUUGGAUUCGGGUUUGGGUAAAACCUGAAAACUAUAGUAUGGGUAUGGGUAGUGCUAUUUUCUACCCGAACCCGAUCCGAACCUAUGAGUAUGGAUACUAUCCGAACCCAUAUCCGAAUACACACACACACACACAUAUAUAUAUAUAUAUAUAUACAUAUACNNNNNNNNNNNNNNNNNNNNNNNNNNNNNNNNNNNNNNNNNNNNNNNNNNNNNNNNNNNNNNNNNNNNNNNNNNNNNNNNNNNNNNNNNNNNNNNNNNNNNNNNNNNNNNNNNNNNNNNNNNNNNNNNNNNNNNNNNNNNNNNNNNNNNNNNNNNNNNNNNNNNNNNNNNNNNNNNNNNNNNNNNNNNNNNNNNNNNNNNNNNNNNNNNNNNNNNNNNNNNNNNNNNNNNNNNNNNNNNNNNNNNNNNNNNNNNNNNNNNNNNNNNNNNNNNNNNNNNNNNNNNNNNNNNNNNNNNNNNNNNNNNNNNNNNNNNNNNNNNNNNNNNNNNNNNNNNNNNNNNNNNNNNNNNNNNNNNNNNNNNNNNNNNNNNNNNNNNNNNNNNNNNNNNNNNNNNNNNNNNNNNNNNNNNNNNNNNNNNNNNNNNNNNNNNNNNNNNNNNNNNNNNNNNNNNNNNNNNNNNNNNNNNNNNNNNNNNNNNNNNNNNNNNNNNNNNNNNNNNNNNNNNNNNNNNNNNNNNNNNNNNNNNNNNNNNNNNNNNNNNNNNNNNNNNNNNNNNNNNNNAAGUUCGGGUUUGGGGAUGGGUAGUAUACUAUCCGACCCAAACUCUACCCAUUGCCAUCCCUAAGCGGGUUAGAGCUUUAGAUAUAUAUUUUUUAAAAUUAUUUAAGAGGGAACCAGAAAGAGAGGUGAUGUGGGUGGUAGGUUGGCCCAAUCGUGUUUGGGCUGGGCUCGGGCCUGAGUCAAAAAUUUUUGGGUCUAAGCCCGGUCCAUAGCCCGACAAAAUAUUUCGAGCUGGGCUCGAGCAAGGGUUUGGCUCGAUCUAGCUCGACCCACUUUCAGUCCUAAAUGAAGCUAAUCAUUCAAGUUGACUCAAAGUCAAACAUGAUUUGGAUCCGAUAAAAUUUGUUUAAGUUAGGACCCAGAUUGGAUUGGGACAACUUCGCUGGUCGAUUUAAGCAUUCAACUCUAUAGCUAAAAAUAUAGUAAUUAGUAAUCAAUAUAAAAUCAUUAAAAAUUCUAAAUAAAACUAACAAGAUGACCGUUUAAUUAUUAAUUUUUAUUUUUUAAAAAUUUAAUUCAAGAAAAUAAUUAAUCUGAAGUUACAAGCAUAGUAUGUUAUACCAACUGAUACAGAUAUAUAUUGGACAACACUAUAUCAUAUCUGUAUAUAGAGCUAUCAAGAUGAGCUGACCCGUCCCGAUCCGUCACAAUCCGCCUCUAAACAGGGUAGGGUGGGCUGGCCCAUUUAACUGAUGGAUUGGGAAAACUCCAACCCAACCUGACCUGCCAUGAGCUGCAGGUUCAACGGGCUAACCCAUCAAAAUUUCAAAAAAAAAAAAGAAGACCUGUAAAAUAGUAAUACAAACAGAGAAAAUGUAGUACUAAAAAAAAGAAGAAGAAAUAUAGUACUAAAACAGCAAAAUAAACAGAAGAUGACAAGCAUCCACAUGUUAUUUUUGUGGAUAAAGAAAAUGCAGUGAUCAAGCAUAAUGAAGUACUUAUAGAUCGCGAAGCACAAAUUUAUGAUUUGGGAGGUAUUUGAAUGGUUUUAAGGUUGAUAUACCGAAAAAAAAAUUGUAAAACAACAAUAUAAACAGAGAAAAUGUAGUACUAAAAUAAUAUAUGGUACUAAAAAAAAAAAAAGCUAGCCAGUCUGCCCUGAACCCGCCAUAACCAGCAAUCCAAAUGGGAUAGAUUAUUUAAUCUAUUUUUAAAUAGAUUGCUAAAAUAUGAAUCCAACCCGCUCCAUUUAUAUGGUGGGACAGACGAACCUGACGGAUUCAAUCCAAAUUGACAGCUCUACCUGCAUGAAUCGAUACGUGGAAUAGGAAGCAUGCUAAUUAUUAACAUGCUGAUCCAAUGCGCUGUACGAUAUAUAUUAAUGUUGUACCAAGAUGGUGCUGGUAUAGAAUCAGUACCGAAAUUACGAACCUACAAGUCUAUAAAACACAAUUUUAAGAAAUAUAAACUACUAAUCUUGGGAACAUUGUAAAUAGGAAUUCAGCAAAUUAGAUGAAUGCUUAAUUAUAACCAAGAGUAGGUGAGAGGAGAUUGGGUUACCCGGAUGAACAUAGAGGGUUUAGUUUAGGUGAAGAUUCAUUUGACCAACUGGGAAAGAAAUUUGAGGAGGGGACGGAGGUUUUAUAUGAUUUUGAUUCUCUGUUGGGUCGGAUUGGGUCCCCGUUGGAUUGGGUAGCUCUUUUGUCGAUCCAAAUUAGACCCAGAUGACAUACAGGCCUGAUUGGAUCUAGGAAACUAUAAGACCCAACCCAAGCCAGUAUUCUAAUUCGGUCUAAUCUUUGAUCUUAACCUAACCCAUGCAUCAUAAAGAAAGGGUCUUGUUAGAUCUUAUUGGGUAAGGAUUGGGUCAGGUCAUCAAUGGGCCCAUUUGCUAUGAGCAGCCGAAAAGGAUCAAGUUCACCAAACAGAUAUCGAUUCAUAAAAGACUACAAAUACUAUACCUAAUCGAAUUAAUUCCCUUUCCUUUUUUUCACCUUUGUCCAUCACGUGACAGGGAGAAAAAAAGGCUGAGUGCGAAGACCAAAUUCUAAGGCUCUCAAGGAUUAGAGAAGAUUCUUGCUAGAAUGAGUAUGAAGCAAUAUUAAAACAAUAAAUACAGCUAAAACGAAAUCAAAGUCGCAUAGUAUAUAAAAAUGGACUGCCAGGAUCAUCACCGGAACUCAAAGAUAUUUAAAGAUGAAAAGGUUAACACAUAUAUAUAUAUAUAUAUAUAUAUAUAUAUAUANNNNNNNNNNNNNNNNNNNNAACACAUAUAUAUAUAUAUAUAUAUAUAUAUAUAUAGCAAUCAAGAAAAGUUCGUCUGUACAUCCAUGAGUUUGUUUUAGAAACUAAAACCAGCAUAUCCACAGUUUCAAGUCAGUUGAACCUGGAUAAUUAUCGAGCAGGAGCAACACUUUCUUUGAAGAGGAUGUUUGCCACGGCUGGUGGUAGCCAUGCUGCAUCACUACCAUUCAGUCCACCCUGCUGCAGCCCUUCUCCCUGCCCUGAGAUGCCAAAACCUUUCUUCCUCCUUGAUCUCCCCAUACUCUUGCCCACAAAGAAUCCCAGUUUCAGUGCUGUAAACAAACCCAAAGCAAUAACCAAUGGCCUCACAGCCCAAUGGAAAUCCUCAAGGUGUUGGUACUUACUGAUCAUUCCUUGGCAUGUACUGAAGCUCACCACUUCCACCUCGGAAGGAUCUGCGAGAAAGCUGCAGACUUCUCCAAAGCGAAGUCUGCCAGGAAAUUUGACGACAAGGCACCCAUUUGGAAAAACCUGUGAGAUUCUGCCUGUGGCCCAUUCCCCACCUCUCUUGCGUGGCCACUCAAACCUGGGACUAGAUACAGUAUCUUUCGGCCUUAAGAACUGACCGACGCAGUAGGUCUCUGCCAUCUGAAUCUCUGAAUAUUUCCCGUUCCAGAGAGUUUCCAUCCCAACAAAACCAACAGUUACUGUUCCAUCUCGCUCGUCGCUGUGGAGGAUGCCAACUGGAGACUGCUUCUUGGUUUCCUCCUUCAACCGUACCCAGUCACCAGCAGCAAAACCAUGGGUCACCCUCUUCACUGUAGAAGAGUGCACCCUGAAAGGAUCACGAAAUCCGUGGAUUCUCACAAGCACAAAACCAUCAUGAUCCACACUGUUUUCCAAGCCAACCACGGUUCCCUCUAGGAUCUCCAUGCUUUCUGAGCUGAAGGAGUUUCUAGUCUUUCUAGAGCACACAGCAUCACCUACUUGAAGGUGGUCCUUUAGAAGGGACCAAUCAGUGUAACCGAUAUGGCUUGAUCUGUCUGCCACAUGCUUCUCGGAAUCACCCCAGCUGCUAUCACUGGAAACUGCAUCCUUGCAGCUGAAUGGACAUAUAGCAAAUUUACUGCUUUAAAGAUGCAGCACUAAACAAAAAAUAUCAGAGAAGACAGAAUCUGAACAUUUUAUAGGAAAUGCAAUUUUCUAUUCAUGUACAAAUUCAGAAGAAUGAGAUCCGUAUUGAACAUUGAUAUCAAUCAAACCAAUGCUCUAGGAGAAAAUAGCCAAAUGCUCAAAUAAUGUGUGACUGGUAUAAUAUGAAAACGAAACAAGGCUCUAAAUUAUAUUCAUUGCUUUCUUACUGAAACCAUCAACAUGCUUCUGACAGUGAUACUGUAUUGUACAUGAUUAUCAUGCCAAAUUAAUGAGAUCGUUUCUAUGAGAUAGAAAAACUCAUCGCAAAAGAAAGAAAAGAUGAAAUCUCUACAAAUGUAGUAUGCCUACUAUAAACAAGAAACAGUUCCCCGAUUACAACAAAUUAUAUUUAAAUGAAAGCGUCCUUUAUCAUAUAAUGAACAGUCAAAAUGAUGCGUGGCAUAGUUUUACACAAUUUCUUGAUAGUUAAAAUGUAGCAUGCGGUGCAGUAGUCUUAACCAUAUUUUCCAUAAUUAGAACCCUCAUAUGAGAGAUGCCUGAGGAAAAAAGAUUGAAACCUUAAGUUCAUCACCAGAUAUGGUCAAGCUCAGCUGCAGGCUGCGUCACUCAUCCAAUAUUAUCGCGACAAAAGUAUAUAGCAACCGUAUGAGACCUGCAGGCUGCUACCUACAAUUAGCUUAAGGCUUGUUGGUUGCUUAAUGCUGGUUGGUUGCAUAUGAGAAUGAACCACAGAACUAUAAGACAAGCACCUCAAUCAAUCAGGAAAACUUCAUAGCUAAAAUCCUGCUUCGUUUCAAGCAGCUAUGAACUAGCAUCCAUUAAAUUACAAAAAAAAUACCUCCUCCAUAUUUGCAUGCCAUCAUCUAGUCCAAAAGGCAUUCAUGCUAAUUCUUUUACACUAAACUUCAGACAGAACUCAGCAACAGCAAUCCCUUUUUGAAAGAUUUAAGCUGAGAAUUUGUCCAAGAUAAUUAUAUAGGCUGAACUGGAAUGGCUGGAGGUCAAUCCAAAUAUUAGCAUAAGGUGAAGGUUCAAUUUCAAAUAUCAGUUUUUUAUUUUUGGAGCAAUACCCAGGUUUUGAACCCUUGACCUUCAAAUGUCACUGUUUCUGCUACAAUCAUAGAAAUGUGGAAUAUCCUUUUCCUUUAGUUAAAUUCUCAUGAUCGAAGAGAAUCUGCACAUCAUUUCAGCCUAUCCCACAAAACAUACGCAUAUAUAGUGGCUCAACAAUAUGGUGCAGUCUUUGUGACAAUCACAAAACCACCUUCUGUGACUGCCAGAAAACUGAUUCUUCAGGUGCAACCAUCCUCAGUACGGACAUGUCUGUACCAUAUUAAAUUCUCUGAUGCAUAGGUUGUCAAAACAGCUGCUGGACAACACAUCAUAAAUGACACAAUAAAUUUUCUAAUUUGCUUCCUUAUAGAAUCAGAUAAAAGUGAAAGUGCUCUGGUUAAAUCAUGAUGGGAUUGCAUAUAUAACAUCUAAUUUCAUCAUCCCAUCUCUCAUCAUCUACAGUUUUCCCUGUAGUCACAUAAUUAUUUUCACUCUCACCAUUUACUUCUGGGCAUCUUCACAUGCUAACAUCUAAUUUCAUCAUCCUAUCUCUCACCAUCUACUGUUUUUCCUGAUAGUCACAUAAAAACUUCCACUCUUACUAUUUACUUCAGGAAAUUCAAUUUCACUACCUUGGCAUCUUCUAUCCUUACCAUGAAUCUUCAUAUGCAACAAACUCUAGUUGGGGGCACAAGAGGAAAUCUCUCUCCAGUCCACACAGUGCUGCAUUGCCAUCUCUUCACUUCCUCUGAUACAUGAUAUCAACACCUAAUGCACAUGUAGUCUCAUAUAUAUCCAGUCAUAGUUGUCUAAAAAAGUUUCCUCAUCAAAUCAUCGUUCCUUUGACAUACUAUCUUAAUAUGGAAUUCUCAUCCAACAAAUCUUCCCAUGCCAAACUCUCAUAGUAGGGAAGCUAAAACAACAUCUUCCUUCAUAAUGAUAAAUUUAAAUGUCCACUUCAUCAUUUUAAAAUGUUAAGUCACAUAUUUCACAUAAGCAUCAUUAACAUCAUUGUCAGAGAUAAACCACCUAGGUGACAUGGACCUGCUUUUCUUGUAAACUUGAGUAUGUUACCUUUUUUCAAAAACAAAAGAAGAAAAUUCUUUGACAAAAAUUACUUUCGUACAUGUAAAGACUUUCAAAAUCAUCCAGAAAGAAUGAAAAGAAUCAUGUUGAAGGGUCCAGCACCAAAAUAAAUUCACAUAAAAUCAAAUUCCUUGAAAUCAUGAACCAUGAAAAGAGAAGUGGCUACAGGUUAUCUAUAAUAAUUGGGCUUUAAAACCAGGUGAACAUGUUCCAUUUAUUUAAAACAGAAAAAAGAAAAAUAACUCAGCUCUCGGGUAUGUAUAAUACUUUUUGCACAAUCAAAUUAACACUGCAUGAAUGUGAUGAAAUGGUGAGAUCUCCAACCAUAAUCUAAAACUUGCUGUAAAGAACUUGCUGAUUGAAUUUCAUAUGAAGAGGAAUUUAUACAAGCAUGUACUUGGUAUUUAGUCUAAAAAUCUCUCAGCAAAUCAUGAAAGCAAAUGUUAGUGCCAAAGUUUCAAUGUCUGCACUUUUAUUCACCAACGAAGCCUCGCAUGGAAAAUGCGUAUGAGAGGUCAAAGUAGCUUUAAUGCUUACCUUUGAAAUGCAUGUAAAAUGUCUGAUAUUAGAGGGCGAUUUCGGAGGUCAUACUCAAAGCAUCCAUAAAGGACAUUUUCAACUUGAGGCGGUAAGCCACUUGGAAUGUCUGGUUUUUCUUUCUUUAUCACAACCAAGUGAUAGAUUUCAUCAGGUGACUUCCCAUGCCAAGGCUGGAUACCACUCAACAUUUCCAAUAUACUGCAUCCAAACCCCCAUGAAUCAGUUUCAAAAGAAAGUGGGCCCCUAACUUUUGGUUGCCAUUGUUCAGGAGCCAUGUAGUUUGGUGUCCCAAGCCUCUGAACCAAAUCUGAAUUUGGCAAUGGAAGUCCAAGCAAUAAUGAUGGGAUACCAAAGUCUCCUAGAACUGCAUGGUCAUGUUCAUCGAGAAGCAAAUUACAGGGCUUAAUGUUGAGGAUUAGAAUUCUUCUUGAGUGGAGUUCCAAUAUUCCCUGAGCCAAAUCAACACCAUACCUGUGGAAAGAAAGAUGCCAGAACAUGAUAAGGAUUCAAUCACAUAAUUUUGUAAUUCAUUUAGAAAGCAGCCCUGAUGUUAAAUCCACAUUAUCACCUUAAAACAUCAGACAGUGCAAGCCUUCCACCUUUGAGACAAGCCAUCUUGUCACCAAUUGAUCCCUCAUAAAACUUCAUUGCAAUGCAGACCUGGAAAGUCAUUUCAAGAUGCUAGCCUUAGACUUUAUACUAUAACUCGAUGACAGAACUAAAAUUCCUCUUUUGGAGCAUCUGACAUGCAGAUAAGCCCAAAUGUAAGCACUUACUUACCCUUCCAUUUUGAACUGAGAUUCCAUGCAAAAAGCAAACACCCUGUAGUCCAUGGCACUUGGAGAAUAUUUCAUCAAACUUGACCAAAAAAGGCUGAAGCUGAUCAUCUUUUAUAGGAUAUAGCAUCUUGACAGCAACCUCAUGAAAGCGAUCAUAAUCUUUGGUACAAUGAUGAUGAGUUGCUACCCACACAUCACCAAAUGGGCCUCGCCCUAUGCGGUGUGUCAAUUUCAGUGCACUGGGAUCAAUCCAUGGGCUAAUUUGGUUUGGCGUAGAUACCACUGCUCUGAGAUGAUCUGGAUCUCCCUCAAACAACAUGAAUUCAAAUGAUUCAGUAGCUUGAGAUGCAGCAGCUUUUCCAGCCAUGUUCCUAGUUGAAUGAAGUAUGACCUUUAAAGGCUACCUGAAUAAAUGAUUCACAAUAGUCCAUAAUUCACACUACACAAAGGUAAUCUAAGUUAUAAUACAUAAAUCCGACAAGAAAUUUGCAUGAACAAGCAAACUAUGACAAAGUUUAAUUAAAAACCUCUGGCGAAUUUACAUUAACCAUGACAGAUGCUACACUUGUCUUUCAUAUGGACAUGAGUGAGUACACUGUGUUAAAUGAGAAUGCUGAUUUCUAGUUAUAAUGGAUGUGAGAUGGAGAACCCAAGGUCAUUCCUACAUUCACAACCAAUUCUUGAAUUGAAUCUCUUUGCGAUUGUGUUUUCAAAUCAAUAGUGGCGGCCAUACAGUUCUUGGUCAGUAUACCCUACUGGGUCGGUACGGCAAGCCCCAUACCAGCCAGUAUGUGAUGGUACCCAAACCUUGAUGUAACAUUGGUGCUUACAUCUCAAUUAUGUUCUCAUACUGCAGAAAGAAGCAUGUCUGUCAUUAUUAUUUUAGUUUCAUUGAAUAAAUUUUCUCUUGUUAAGCAAAAAAAAAAAAAGCAGUGCGCUGCAUCAAUGAUGAACACAUAGACAGGUGUUAAGCAGAAAACAAGAGCUCUGCUUUUGAAACAGCACACACAUCAUAUUAUUGCACCAUAUGAACUUGCUCUAGCCAAGACAAGCCAAAAAAGAAUCUGUUAAUGGCAGUAGUGAUGCACUACACCAUGCAAGAUAAUUCAAUAAAUCCCAUGCCAGGAAACCAUCUAUCAUUAUCUAAAACCCCAUCCUUUCAAAAACUUAUCACGCUCAUGUCCAAUAACUAUCAACAUGAAAACCCAUCAUAGAUGUCGGUGCCAUUCCUGUCACAAAAUUCAGUACCAGCUCAAACAAACAAGCCAUAUAAGUUAAACUGAUUAAGCUGGUUAAAGUGCCUCUAGGAGUGCAUGAAAUAUUGACCAACAUAUAGUAAAGCAACAACCAUAACUUAUGUCACAUAGCCAAUCAGAAGCCAUCUCAUUGUAGCAACUUCCACUCCAUCUAACACCAGUACAUACAAUUAAAACAAUUCAGUCUAUGAAAAUCUUGCAAGACCUAUUUAGGAAGCAAAGUUAGGGCGUGGUUGGUGUUGCUUCUGCUUUAUAAAAAGAGAAGGAAAAUCCAGUAGCUAGGUUAUCUAGCUUCUCCUAAAAGCACUUUUUUUUUUUUUUUUUGACUUUUUCUUCUUGUGGAAGCACUUUUCAUAUAAUGUUAACAAACAUUCAUUUUUUGGGGAAGUGCUUUUUUGCUUUAAGGCACAAAAACACCUCUUUUAAGCAAUAAUUUAAUCACAUAGUAAAUUAUGAAGAAGAAAAGAAGAAGAUAGGAAAAAUAUAUCAGCAUAAUAGCACCAUCGGUUCGAUUUAUAACAUAAAGAAAUAGCAGCAAAUAAUUAAACUAAAAAGAAAGAGAGGCUUCCAAACAAAACAACAAUUUUCUCUCAUGAAGAUCACUGGAAACGAUUGUCCUACAAACUUCUUCUAAGACAUAUAGAUAGAUAGAUUGAUUUUCUUUAAGCAUACCACUAACACCCACAGUGGCUUAUCAAGAAAGCUGGUAAAUUGACAUGAAGAGGGGAAUUUGCAGAGCCAAGAGAACCUAAAGGUAACAUAUUUAAGAUGUUCCUCUUAAAACUACUUUUUCAUUUUUGUUUCUGCCAAUUUUCUCCAGACACAAGAUAAAAUUCAAGAUCUAUACAUAAGGCUGAAACAGAUCAGUUAUAACCUGACCAUAAUUCCUCCUCUAGAUCCAGACAUGCAUAUAAAAAUUAAAUGUAAUAUCUAGAUACAGAUAGAGCUGACAACUAUCAGAAACAAGGUCCACAAUCUCGAUACCGGGUAUCGUAUUAGUACCUUAUUAGUUUGGUAACACACAGUCAGUAUAAUAUGGUGUGCAUCUCAUAUUGAAACAGCCCUCUAUCCUUUUUCUCACUUUUUAGUUUAGUGCACCUUGGUAUAUAUGGGUCGAAACUCCUCAGUGCGGAUCGGUACACACCUCGGUAUAAUGUGGUAUAGGAUCUGUUCCGAUCCAAACUUGAGUGUCCUGCCGGUCCUACCUAGUGUGCCCCAUACUGAGCGGUAUGGAAUGGUAUGACAGUCUAUGAUCAGAAAUAUAUUUCCUUUUGCCUGUAAUGAUGUAUUGAGGCUUCAACGCUGAUUAUGCAUUAGUUUUAUAUUGUUUAAUUUGAUGGAUGACAUUUUUAAUUGGUUUUAUCGAUUUAUCACAAGAUACUUUUGUAUUGGGCUUAUAUAUGUUUAUGUUGGAGAUAAUACAUGUAUUACAAAUAUCAAAUAAAGAAAGCACUAAUUUGCAACUCUCCAAUUCAUAUCUGCUAUUUUUGAAACUAAAAAUGGAUAUCACACAUAUCUGAUCCAUAACCAUAUAUAUUUUAAUAAAUGGAUGUUACCAUUAUCCAAUGUCAUGGUGGUGGCAGUCAUGAUGGUGGAGGCAGCAAUGAAAGUGAUGGCUGUUAUGCAAUGAUGGUAAAAAAAAAAAAAACAUGUAGUUUUUUUUUUUGAAGAUUAAAAAUAAGGAUUUCUUACUUUUAUUUUCUAAAAAUGACUUUAGGAAAAAAAAAAAAAAAAGAAACAAUUGCAACAAUUAUAUUUAUUAUCUCGGUUUCUGUGUUCUCAUUUUUUUAAAAAUAAAAAGAUAAAAGCGACACCAAACAGGCCCUACGAAAUAAGAAUCAUAAAGGCAAAUAAAAAAUCCAUCUCCAAAUAGAAAUUUCCAGACAAUCUACAACCACUCCGUAAAAUAAAACUCAUCAAAAAUAAAAAACAUAACAUGCACUACAAAAUGGGCAACACAAUAAAUUCAAUCAGAUGAUCACACCCAAAAAAUAAAAAAUAAGGCAAACAGGAAAGCAAAAAAAAUCUACUAGCAUGGAUCAAAUUUAGAUGCAAAAACUAACGCAAUCCAUCACAUAACAUAACGGAACAACAAACUCGCCUCACCUAAAAUAGAUUCUUUCCCUUUCCGAAUUCCUUCCAAGUGCUGUCGACGAAUUGAUCGGCAAUAUAUAGAAAAACAAAAAUAAAUAAAAAGAUUCGUAGAAAGAAACUAAUAAUCGAAGACGUCCAUCAAGAAGAAGGCGAGGAAGAGAAGGACUAGCAGGGGGAAGACUUGGAGAGGGGAUGAUUUCUUCUAAGGGAAGAAGAGGAGUGGACUCUGUUUAUGUAAGGAGCGCCAGGGCGCGGGGGGAAGAGGAGGUGGAUGUUCGCUUCUUGGUUACUCAGGGUGCGUGUGUGGGUAUCGCACCAUCCGACGCUAUUUUUAACGCAAAAGAAGCCAUCAUUUUUUGAGGACCUUCUCCUUAGGGGCGGAUAUAAACGGCCUUUUUCUAUAUUUUAUUAUUAUUAUAUUCCACUUUACUAACUCUCCAUGAUCUUCUUCCUUAAGGACUAUUAGUUAAUGUCACGUCACGGCAAAAUAAAUAAAUACUUUAAAAGUGAUUAAAUACGUCGUGAGGGGUGAGAGGUCCCACGGGAUCCGUUUGUUCGUUGCUCGAUAAAGCGUGACUGGGGCAAUGGUGGGAGGAGCUGGAGAGCAUUUUGUCGAAAAGGAAGGGUGUGUUUAUCAACGUCUGUGGCUUUUGUAUCGUGGACCUGGGCAGUGUUUCCAAGAUAUUAAAAUCCCUGGUUGCGCCACGUCGGAUGGGGGCCGCAACGUGCCACGUACAUAUUUGAAGGUUUUGGAAACAAAUAUGUGUCGACGCACACUGACGGUGCGCGAUCCGGGAGGAUGCCUCGCACCUCGCUGUUUACGCCUCGUGACGUGGUGCGUGUGGGGCUGGAUCAGUUUGUGAAGUAAAUAUUCAUUGAAACGGUAAUAUCAUCUUAAAUUUAUAAUAAAUUAAUUAAAAAUAAAAAUAAUAAAAUAAUAUGAGAUAUCAUUAUAAAAAUCGAUGAAUAUACGGCAGUCGAUAAAAUAUAAAUAUUUUUAUUAAUUUAUUACAAAUUUGACAGAGACAACAUCAUUAUAACGAAUACUUGUCUAGUUUGCAGCUUCCCAUUUACCUUUCAUUGAUGCCUUGAGAGUCUCAUGCAAAGAUGUUCUCAUCCCCUCAUUGGAUGCAUGUUUACGUACUGAAUUUUAUGACGAACUAGAAGGUUUGACAGCAAAAGUGCCUUAAGACAACUCAUACUUGUACCUAGUUGCCUACAAAAAGUACAUGUAUGUGCUGGGAAUGACUUUGAACUUUAUCGAGGCAUAAGCAAUGCACAAAGCUACAUUUGUUUUGCCCUAAAAUUAAAAAUGUGCACGACCGAGGAGCAUUUGGUGGAUAUAUAGCUAUGAAGCCAUCGCCUUAUAAUUCACAUCAUUCUUUGGAGUCAAAAAAAGAGUAUUUAUGACUGCCAAUGAUCCUAUCAAUUUGAGGGGAAAAAAAAGGUUCAGACUUGCAUCCUGAAAGAACCAUGGAAAACAAAAUAAGGUGGACGGCAGAUCCAGAUUAGCAAACUGUAUACUUCGACAUCUCAUUUGUACCAACAAUUCGUUUUAUGGACCAUGAAGUAAUCAGACUUCCAUCACUUUCUCAGCUCUCACAUGCUUGUCAAACACUUCAUUCGAACAAUUCCUAGUAUUCAGUACACCGUCGGAAAGAUUGUUUGGGGUCGCAAGCAAGGUUAUGCCAUAACGAGUACGUGUCCCAGAUUUUGUCUGCUCGUCUCUGCAGAAUUUUUCUCGUUUUCCCCUCAACAGAAACGUUUUAGAAUGCAGCAUAACGGUCCCCAAGUCCAUACUUGGGUCAGUGCCUUUUGACAGGUCAUCUAUAUCCGAAAGCUUCUGGAGAGCAGUGGCUGCAGCUUCAGCUUCCAGCUGAAGCCUUUUGAUCGCCAAGUUCCACACACUUGUGCCCCCAGUUCUCUCCUAGGAAAACGCCAUAAGGUUCCUUUAAUCCAUCAGCAUCUUCCCCAUAACUCUUCUUUCAUUGUCUUUGGUUCUUUUUCCCGCAGGGCCUACUUUUUAAGGACUGCUCUGAGCUCUUCCUCUUUAUUAGCCAAAGCUUUCCGUGCAGUGGGGAAGUCCAUCUCCUUUUGUCUCAGCGAUUCCUUCUUCCUUUUUCCUUCUUUUUUUUUUUUUUUUUGAGUGAAAAUGGGGGAAGUCAGAUAUCUCCCCUGGAUUUAUGGACUAAAAUUAGAUUCCUUCAUCUCAAGCUCAGUCUCAACGCUUCUGGUUGUUGGACGUCCGUUCUCAUGUUGGGCUAUAACUCUUUAAAAUAAAUCAAGAAGGAAGAAGAGUCAUUUUAGGACUCAUAUUAGUAGCCUAUUUAAUUUGGGGGCCAGCGUGUGAAAAUUUUUUUGUGAGGCGCGCGAACCAGAGGCUUGGAAAUCGCGGCAGAAACGAUUAAGGAGGAGAAAAUAAAUAUUUUGAUACCAUUUUAUUAGAUGAUCAAAUAUUUGAUUGUAUUUUGAUUUUGAUAAAAUUUUAUUACAUUGUUUCUGAUAUUCAGAGCUAUAAAUUGAAUAAUUUUAUUUUUUUAAAAAAAAUUAUUAAUUAUUUCAAAUAUCCAUAUAUUUGAUGAAAUCUAUUUCAAUUUAUUGUUGAAAUCCAUUUUGUCAUUGAUGGUUAUUUUUAUUUUAAAAUCAAAAUUUAUUCUUGAUGAUAUAUUUGUGUAAUCUCUAAUUAAUCUAGAGAAGAUCUAUAAUAAUCUUAUUAUUUUAAACAGUAGAAGAUUCACAUCAAAUUUAUGGUGUUUUUUUUGUAGAUUGCUUGAGUAGAUCAUAGGGAUUAUUGUUGCUUUAUGAUAUUCUAUUUAAUUAUAUAAAAAAAUUAUGAUUUUAUUAUUGAUGAUUACAGUUUUUUCCAAUACUAUUUAUGAAAUCCAACAUUACGCUUCUAGGAAUGCUGCUGCCCUCUUCAUUUUACAAACACAAUCUGCUGAGAUUAUAUUUUCUUCCGAUAGGAUUCGGACCCGUCCACUCCAAAAGCUCCAAGGUAUAUGAGAAUAUAAAUUUGGCCCAGAUUGUUUUUUCCUAGUUGUACUAGCUUAAUCCAUGGAUUUUAUAGGAUUUUUGGCCAAUGCAUCCAAAUGGACCCUUACUAAUAAGGGAGGCAAAAGAGACACCCAAUUUUUUUUUUUGAUAAGAAAAAAUGGGAGUUAAGAGGGGGAUGAUCCGACGCAUCUACCUCUCUUAGGCGUGAUCAUAGGGCUCCAACCCCCACCGAAGAAUAUUCGAUUCGGGCCGAGUUUGGAUGAAUAGACGGCCUCCUUCCCACCAUAUAAACGAACCCAAUAGAUGAAUACAUCACCCCAGUAUCAUCGAGGGCCAACGGAUCAGAUGCUAUUUUCAGAUGCCAUGUUCAGGCCACGAAGAUAUUCUCCAUUCACAGUCAUUCACGUCAUGUCAUUUAAUCACAGUCUGGUAUCCGUCAAGACUCGAAUCCGGAUCACUUUGUUAGAAACAAUGGCCCCUUCUACUGUGAUGCCACCUCAGAGGCAGAGACACCCGGCCUUUAGAUGUGAAUUAAAAUAUUUGUCAUGCCACAAACGCAUCACCUGGGUCAAAUAGAACCAUAAUGAUCGCAGAUUUAGAUACAAACCGGUGAUUGUCUGGCCUUUGCAUGUUUUCUAGGGUUAUACUCUGUGGAAUAUGAGGCCGUGUCACAAGUUAAUCCAGGUGAUGCACAACUCAAUUCCUUCCAAAAAAGCACUGCCACCAACACUGAUCCAUCACCAUGAAGGGCCCAACAAUCAAACUAGUUCUAAUCAGUCUUUUAUUCAACUUCAUUGAGACAGACUUGCCUUCAUGACGUACCCCAUCCUGGGCCAUCUAUCAUUAGAGGGUUGUAGGUAUUUAUAUUCAUUGCUGCUUCAACUUUAAUGUUGCUAGAAAAUAAAAAUAAAGAUCCAUGACCAUGCCAAUUGAUCUAAAAUGCCAAGAGGCUCCUUUCUGUGCACAAUCUAAAUGAAGAAAAUAUGCCACUUUCAAAACAGAACUGAAAUUUUUCAUCUUAUUUUCAUUGCUAUCUUAACUAAAUUAGACACCAAUCAUGCCAGUCCCAAUCUAGGAAAUGAGAAGGUAAGAAGAUUGAUGCUAGGUAGGCAGCUAAUUGUCAAAAAUGAGACAAACCACAAAAUGGAAGAAAAGAACUAAUGGUGAACUUAAUUAGACAGGACAAUGGUGGUUGGUUAUGAUUCUGAACCAUAUAAGCAACCAAGUAGGUAGAAUAAGGCCAACGAACCUUUUAAUAUUUAUUUAAUGAAUAUUAUUUUGCUAAAAGUGGCAAGGGAAAUAGAUAUCCAGGCAUAAGAGAAACAUAAAGAUCAGCAAAGCCAUUUCAAGACUACAGGAGUUCUCAGAAAAAAAGACUGCAAGAAGUUCUGAAGACUAUGGCACUUCAAUAAAUGACUCAACCACUGUACACAGAUCAACACUCUUUGUGAAGGUUAUCAACAGUUGAUCUAGCUACUUUGCUAAAAGCCACAAAAGAAACGAUAGCCAGGCACGACAGAACCAUAAAAAACAGCAAAACCAUGACAAGACUAAAAGAAAUUCCACUACUUAAAAAAAAAAAAGAAAGAAAGAAAAGGCUGCAUGUAGCUCUGAAGACUAAUACUUCAACAAAGGGCUCACCACUGCACACAGAUCAACACCCUUUGUAAAGAUUAUCUACUGUUGAUGUACCUACUUUGCUAAUGGUUGCAAAGGAAAAGGAUAGCUGAAUAGCCCCACGGAUUCAGUUACAGCCUUUAUUGUCGAGCACAUUGAAAAUUAGACUUGACGCCGAGACAACGCUUGUCCACGAGAUUUUUUGUAUUCUGUUCUUUUAGAUUGUACUCACAUAAGGAUCGUAUGAUUGUCCAUUUAUAUCAAAAAAAAUAAAAAUAAAAAGAUAGCCAGAACAACAAAACCAUAAAAAAAAGUUAUAGACUAAUAAUUCAACAACGGACUCGCCUUGUUUACCGGAAAAGAAAAAAAAACAACGGACUCGCCUUGUACACAGAUCAACACCCUUGGUAACGGUAAUCUACAGUUGAUGCAGCUUUAACUCUGAUAUGUUUAAAGUUGUAAUCCAUCGUCUAACCAAUCUGAACGAUUGCACAACGACCACGGGGCUCCAAAAGUUGAAAAGAAAAGAAAAUAAUUAACCUCUGAUGGCAAAACUCAUGCAUCAUAGGAAGACCCUCUAAGGAUGUUGAGAAUUAAAAAAAAAAAAAAAAAGGAGGAAAGAAAAAAAUAGAAGAACCAUUUGUACCCCACAAGCUUGAAGGAUACGUUCGGGGAAACAAAAAAGGUUCAUGUUGGUAGGAAAUUCAAUGCAGUGGGUGAUCAUGUUGAUAGGCCAGAGAGGAUAGGUCUUUCAAGAAAGCGUUUUCAAAAAAAAUUAGAAAUUGUCACCAUAGAGGCCGACCUUGUGAACUAGUCCUUAAUGAAGUGAGAAUACAACAUGAAAAAUGUUGCUGCCGAUCUCCCCAACUAUAGUCGGAUGCUGAAGUAGUCAUGGCCGAUGUAAAUCCGUCGCUGGAACUUUGCCUAAAUACCUACAAAACAAGUCCACAUCAGGGGUGGCUCCGCUGUAGACCCUCUAAUGCUCAAAUUAGGAGACGAAGAACGAUAAGAGGAGAAAAUUAAGAGUUGAUUGAUUGCAUAUUUUUGGAGGGUCUUGGAGUCUUGAAUUUGUAGGAGAGGAAUUUGAGACGUAUUCGACUUGGAGUCCCGACAGUUUUCAAAUUUGUCAAAUGGAUAGAUUUGAAAAAAGGCUAUAUUAUCUGGACUUUUCAGAUUUAGAGAGAAACAAUUUGUAAACAGAGGUAGUAAUUCAGCAAAGAUCGACCUAGUAGGUCUUCCUCAGAAACGGCCGAUCUAGUAGGUCGCUAAAGCUGAGGAAUGUAGAAUCUUGUUAACUGAAGUUGAUUGGCUUGAAGUAGAUCGUCUGUCGAAAUAAGAAGGGACCAGAUUGAGGAAGAAGACUUGCUGCUAAUCCAACAAAUUAUACUAGACGAUCAUCGUGUCUGUCCAAUCUAGCAAGUGCCACCUCUUGUAGUUUAGCUAUAACUUGUUCAGUGAUGACAAAAUUAUUUAGGCUGAGGCCGAGGUACAGAUUUACAACAGGAAACAAGGGAACAUCAUAUGACAGCCAGUCUCUUAAGCCCAAAAGAAAAUAGUAACUGAAUGCAUAUUGGGGUAUUUUUCUCACGUUCGGUAGAUAAGCUUGUCCCACUAUGUCCAGCCACUUGGUCGUUUCUUGUCGCAUUCAGUGAGAGGCACUGCAAAAUGAGACAGUUGAAGAUUAGUUUAUUUCCCUUUUUUUGUUAAAAAAUUCUGCCAUAGUUUUCAUUUUGUCAGGAAGAACAUUUGGUGCUGAUAUGAACAAACUACAGAAACGGGUGGUAACUGAAAUUAAGGAUCAGUAUACUAUGAUGAUAUGUAGCAUAUGAACAAGUGUAUGAUAUGUGUCAGAUCAUACACUUGGUCUGUAUGAUAUGAUACACACCAUGCAGGCUAUUUAUGGGCACACUAUGAUGAUGUGUGGUGAUGUUCUAUGCUUGUGGGCCCAAAGCAGUUUGAUACAGGCCAUGGUGCGUAUGGUUUGAUACAUGCAGUAGAAGCACCACAACAGCCCGGCCCCUAAACCCCUUCCUCUCUUUCCAAUCUUACUCUUUUCGUCUGAGCUCAAUCGGAAUCUCCAGAAGUGUACAGUCUCUCCUUUGGCGUUCUGCUGUAGUGAUCCUAGAAUGUAUGUUCUUGAUCUUCUUGACAUGUACAAGCUAUCCAAAAUCAAACCACAAUGGAAAAUUGUCAUUUUAUCUUUGAUGAGGAGCAACCAAGGAAGAACAAUUAUAUGGUUCUGUGGAUUGAAAUAGAAAUUUUGUUUUUAAGUGUCAAAAUGUUAUUUUGUCCAAGUAGUUGACUGAUACUUUAUAAAUGCUGUGUGACAUAUGAAAAUCAAGACCUGUGGGCCUUAUUCGAAAGAAGAAGAACAAUGUCUGUCAAACAGUACCAAUAUUUGUUUUCCUUGAUCAUUGUUUUAAGGCUGCCAAAUAGUUUCAUUGCUGUCCACAAUUGCUGUAAUGCUUCUUCUUCCUUUUUUUCCUCUUCUGUCUGGCUUCGUUUGCAGGCCGUAUUACUCUUUUCAUGUAUAAAGUUUUUUUUUUUUUUUGGGUGAAUACUAUCCUGAACUCUGCAUUCACACACACACUGUGAAGCAAUCUGAAGGUUUGGUUAUGUACUUAUAUGCCCUUCAUUUGUGUUGCUUUUGCAAUUGUGUCAGCUCUUUCUGAUGAGUUAUUUCACUUGUGGUACUGGAGGAUUUUUUAAGUCCUACUUGGAUGAUUUGGACUGCUUUUGUUUCGUGGGCUUCCUUAUGAUCCAUUGAACCUAUUCUUCACAUCCUGAUGGUUCUUUCAAUCUAUUUUACAUUUAAUAGUCUGAAAUUUUGCUAUACUUCUCUGCACCUUAAUGUUAUUGGGGAGUGCAUUGGUUUCUGUUACUCUGGGUUGGAUGCCUAUCGCAAGCUUAAGGGGAAGCAGUCAUGAGUCAGCUGAGGUUUGUUACUUGCGCUGUUCUCUGGUUGAAAUUCCAAAGCUGAGGCCCUCCCAGAGUCAGUUCCAACAAGAAUUUUGCAAAGAAAAUUCUCACCAACCUCUUACAUAAGAAAUCAAAUUUUGAUCAAAGUUUUGUGAGGCCUUCGGUAAAUUCAGUGCAAUUUAGUUUAUUAAAUUCAAUAGAUCAUGUUUCGGUUUGGAAGAGAUUUUUACUGGUGCCUACAAAUAAUUCAUCCUAAGGUUUUAAAUCCCAUGAGAUGAGGAUAUCUUGGUUUUUCCAUGGAACAUAACACCCUGUUGUCUCACUCCAUCCUCAUCAUGGUCCCAAUCAUACAUUCUGAAAAAUAUCCACCAUCUAUUUCUUCCUCUUCUUUAUUUCCUUCCUUUCUAUUCUUCUUUCUUUUCUUUCUUUCUUUCUUUUUCUUCUACUUUCUUUUUUUUUUCCAUCAUUUUUUUGGUUCUUAUCCCUCUCUUUAUUUUUUUUUCCUUUUUCUACUUCAUUCUCUUUUCUGUCUUUUUAUUUUCUCCUUUUUCUUCUUUCUUUUCACUUUUUUUCUUUCAUCUUUUUUUUCAUUUAUUUCUUUCACUUUCUUCUUCCCCUUUCCAUAUGGAUAGAUUUCGGUUUCAGAGUCUUGAUCCUUAUCCUAUUCCCAUUUACUCACGGGAUGGGAUGCUUCCAAUCUUAUUAGAACUUAAAACCUUUAUAAAAUCUCUACAAAACUAUUUUUCCAUCGGAAUAUUUUUGCCAACCAAGAAAUCGGUUGGAUCUUCCUGGAAUAGAACAGUGGCUGCUAUAACAAUCACUAUUAGCCAUUAUAACACUCACCAUUGGCAGUUUAAUCAAAUUUUCAGGUUAGCUUAUCCAAGCUUUCUAAUCUCUCUUUUUGCUUACAUUUGAAUCAUAUCUGCUCAAUACCUGGGCAACAUUAGAGAUCAGAAUUGAUUUACAUGCUUCAUUACAUCGAGGGCUGAUACCUGGUAGCUUUUUACACAUCCAAUUAUCAUAAUCUUGGUGAUCUUUUCAGCUCUUUUUUAUUCCUUAAUACUAGCAUCAAGGUAACCACAGGAAGUUAUGCGGUAGGCUAGCAAUUAUCAUUGACCUUCAUACUUAUCCCAACCGCAACGUUUAAACCAGCUGAAAUAUUAGUAAAGUGAUGGAUGCCACGUUAUUUGAAAGUAAACGGUCCUGUUCCAACUCACGGGGAAAACAAAAAAAAAUCUUUUCCCAUGCGAGUACUGGCUAGCUUUCUUCCUAUUACUGUGGUGUUAUAUUUUUUUUUAGUCGUUCCAACCUACCUACUUUUUAGCUGUUCGAACUAAUCCACAUUUUUUUUGAGGCAAAUCAUGUGGACCAUGUUUUAUAUACCAAGAACAACAUCUGGUAGCAUUUUGUCUUUGUAGACUUGAAAGGACUCAAAAUAGUGGAAGUACAUUCCAACUCGCUGACUAAGGUCUCGUUCUCGCACCAACUUUUAACGGCUAUUGUAAUUAUUAAUUUUUUUAUAAUAAAUAAAUUGGGGAAAGUGUUUCAUUUCCUCGGAUUUUACUUUUGAAAAAAAAAAAGGGUUUGCUGAUUAAGAUCCGAUAUUGAGCUAACUAAUAGUUCCCAAAGGGAUGUUGACAAUACUGGAGUAUAUUUAGGUGGGAGGGAGAGUUGGCUCUCAAAUAAAAAUAAAAAUGAGUAACUUUCACUCUAACUAUUUGAUUAGAGAGAGUCCCAUUUCUAUUUGUGGGAGGAAUAUUAAUGUCCAAAUCUUUUAAAAUUCAAUCUUAACUCUUUCCUAGUAUUCAAAUCUUAUUUCACCAAACUUAUUUAAAAAAUUAAAUUUUAAAUAUCUCCUAUCUAAUUGAUUUUUCAAAAAUUUAUUUAAAAAUAUUCUAAUUCUAAUUCUCAUUCCGAUUCAAGUCACAACCAAACAUAUUAGAGAAUAUGGCUAUUUAAAUUUCUAUUUCCAUUCAUUUUGAUUCCGAUUCUAACCACGAAUAAAAUGUACCUCUAAUUAUGUGGCUUGUGCCUAGUCUAGCCAAUACGAUCAACAAAAUCAGAACCUAUUUUGGACUGCAACUUUAUCAGCCACUUGCAAGUAGCUCAAGCAAGGUUGCCUAGGGCUCAUUCAAGCUCACUCAAUUAGAAAACACCUUCUUCUUUUUCUUUUUCUUUUCUUUCUUUCUUUCUUUCUUUUUCUUUUUUUUUUUUUUUUUUUUUUUAAGACUAAGUCUAACUUAGUAAAGUACUACUUCNNNNNNNNNNNNNNNNNNNNNNNNNNNNNNNNNNNNNNNNNNNNNNNNNNNNNNNNNNNNNNNNNNNNNNNNNNNNNNNNNNNNNNNNNNNNNNNNNNNNNNNNNNNNNNNNNNNNNNNNNNNNNNNNNNNNNNNNNNNNNNNNNNNNNNNNNNNNNNNNNNNNNNNNNNNNNNNNNNNNNNNNNNNNAAGACAAGCAACUAGAAAGACACUCAAUUAGAAAACACUCAAGCCGCAUUCCAGGCUCAUCCAAUAAAUGAUCCAAGCCGGACGAUGCUUGUAAAGAUAGAUACCACCUGAACUCAGUUAUGUGACAGAAAUAUGGAACAGCUUGUCUGUCUACUUGAGCUAUCUUUUUUUUUUUUGGUAAACUUUUUGGUAAACAGUUGGGCUAUCUUUUGACUGGCUUCCUUGUAGGGCAGGAUAAAAGUUAUGCAGGAUUCUAAAAUAAGACUUUAAUUUCCUCCCUUUCUUCUUCCUUCCAUUUGGUGAACAAAGAACAAUACCCCCCGUUCCACGGUAGCAGCUUUGUUGUUGCUACAGAAGUCGGUGUCGAGAAGGUCGGCAUUGACGGCGGAGGAGGAAAAACUGGCGAAAAUAGACCGACCCUGCAUUGAUAAACAGGUGAAAAAAUUCGCAAGGACCCGAAUGUGGCAAGGAUCUGACCAGGAUCUAUGAUUUAGGAACCAAAUCUAGUAUUGUUGUACUCUCGCAUGAUAGAUACUCAGCACCCAACCUGACACGACAUAAAAUACCAAGAUGUUUGGACAGGACCUAUUAAUUCAUACCGAUAUUGGCAUUAUCCCAAAUCGAAUACAGCCAGACAAACCUCGUGCAUGGAUGUCUAAAGUGUGGGUUCAAUCCAACACCAAUUGAGAUUGAUGGCAUGAAACAUAGCCCAACAGGUACUUUUUCUUAUGGACAUCACGUUGACCACUUGGGUCUCCUCCUACCAAGGAGCAUGGGAUAUGCUUGCGUCCUCAGCUGGGACUUGUAUUAAUGUAUUCUAUAUUCUAUAUCAGUCGAAUCUCCAUCAUGGCCAACUCUUUUGACCUGAUGCACAGCUUAAGAAAGACCAGGAACAUUGACCAAGUCUUAUCCAAUAGCGGUUGUCUUCAUUGGUGUAAGAUUCGUCUGAUGGGGGCUUCAGUUUAAAAAAUUUGGACCAUGGGCGCUACAAGUCCAGCAUUUUACUGUAGGAGCAUUGGAAGAAAUUUAAGGAAAUUGAAACCUUGAAAGAGACUUCUGGAGAAGAAGGGACAAAGGUAGGAUGGUUGGAGGUGACCAUAAGGAGCCCCCUGACUAUAAGGAGAUGACUGGCAAUCUUGCUUAAUGUGCCAGACCAAACUUGAUUGGAUGUGAUUAGUAUAUGACUCUAGGAUGGAUGUGACAUGGCUGGUUGUUUAUUGCCAACUUAGAAUGAGCAAAUAAUGAGGUUGGCUGGACUUAACCUUGGGUCACCCAGUAUGUGAUUUUAAUCAAUGAAAGAUAAUUACACAAUUUGUUUAUAUUAAUGAGUAGAUGCUUUGGUCUUUUACACUCAAAGAAAAUGGCUAUAACAUCAAUAGCAAAUUGAAUCGUAGUGAUUUAACUUAGGUUAUUCAAUUGUUGCAACUAAUUUCUUCCAAUGGAACAAAUAAACACCAUAAAAAUGUAGCAUUUAAGAAAAGACUAGCCAUGCAUUCAUAAGAACAUUUCAAAUGGAUUUAUUGAUCUACAGAUUAACUCCUACAUCUUCAUGCUUCCAUUUUUCACUUGCUAUUUCUUAACCAAUUCGGAAAGCACAUGAUUUUGGGAUGAAAUUAGAGCAAGGAGACCCUUGCUUCAAAGCCAUCAGUUCAACAAAUAAAAGGGCUGCCGCUAGUUAUGAGCUUUAUCAAUUGAUGCUAGAGUAAAAAACAGUUCGGAUAUCGAAAUAUGCAUAUCAAUACCCAUAUUCCUUCAAUAAAUAUGAAUAUAGAUAUUAAAUAGAUACCGAUACAAAUUUGAUAUUAAUUAUAUCCAUAAUUUUUUAUUUAGAAUAUGGAUAUAAAUCGAAUAUUAUUUGGAUAUAAAUUGGAUAUUGAAUUGAAUUCAACAAUAAAAACUAAAUAAAUAAUAUGAUCAUAAAGGAUGGUGUUGGUAUGUACAAAUCGAUCUUAUCACCAAGCCAUGUGACAAUAUUAAAGUUAUUUGAAUUGUACUUUCAAAUCAAGUCAGCUAUUUAUUGAUCUGCAUUAACCUUCAGCUCAAUUCUAUAUCGAUCUGAAUAGAUAAGAGUUAGUUCCUGAUAAAAUAUGAUCAGCUCGGUUAUUUGCCGAUCUACCAUAUGAGACAUCAUAUUAAAAUCGACAUGAUCAAUAUGACUCAAAAAUAUACAAAUGGUUAUCUUACAGCUGUUGGUCAACUCAACAGCAGCUGUCUUCCAGUCACACUACAACUAAUCUCCACAUGGAUGGACAAUCCACGAUCUUCAUACAGCUGGUUAUUCUGUUAUAACAUACUAAUAGUCUAACAAACUCUUUUAACGGUUUAACGGCUUAUGCAAGUUUUCUCUAUAUAAAGAGAGACAGGAUAUCUUCCAAAAGAUAAGUCAGAACUCACAGAGCUGAGAUUCUGUUGAAUUCCUUUCAGCUUUCCCAUUGAAGGGAACAAGAGUCAUCACUCUACUCUCCCAAAAUCUUCUUUCUUACCUUCUAGUCUUUCUAUUUCUACUGUUGAUUCUCGAGAUCCCGAUUGAUUUAAUCAUCAAAGGAUUCUAAUUCAAAGAGUACCCCAUCAGAUCUAGGACUUCUUUUGCAGAAUUUCCAGCAGACUUCAUCAAAUUUUACUUAAGAGCACUCCAGCUCGAUCCAAGACCGACCUCGUCAUCUAUUCUCCGGAGCCUUGCAACAUCAGAUGGGAAUAAAAACUACUAUUAAAGAUUGCAAAAGCAAUAUGGUAAUGAUUUUAAACAUAGUUAUUAAAUUUGCAUAAAGACUAUUUCAUUGAUCUAAUUCAAUUUGUAUUAAAAAAUAUAUCAAAAAUUUAAAAUUGAUUAACUAUUAAAAUUUUCUAUAUUAAAAAGCUUUAUGACUUAUUAAUUGCAGCAUACAUAAAAAAAGAUCAUGAAUUAUAUAUUUUUAAAGAAAUUUUAAGAAAAAUUAUAUAUAAAUAUAGGAUUAUAUUGAAGUUAUCAAUAAUUUUAAAUAUUUUAGAUAAAAUAAGAUUUUGCAAAUACUAUAAAAAAUCCAUUUUCAUCAAAAGAAAAAGAGUUGAAUUUUUUUUAUAAAACUAAUAAUUAAAAUAUAGAAUACAAUGAUAAAUUUGAAAUGAUCAUGAAUAAGUUUUGAAUAAAUAUAAUAAACUAUAUUAUGAUAAAAGUGAAUAUUACCAUUGUGGCUCAGUAAUAGGCAACCACCUAAAAGAUCAUAGAUUCAAUUCUUUAUCUAGAUAUGCAUGAAAGCCUUAACCUAAUAAGUCAUGAAAUUGACUAAGGUCCUUCCAGUUACCAUUUUAAUUGUAUGAGAAUUCUCUGGCUCAUGAAUAUGGAAGCAGUUCAAUUCCUGGCCAUAGGCAGCAAAAAAUAAGAUAAUACCUAACUCCCCAACUAUUCAAUGCAUACAUCCGGGUUGAUGGAGAAGCAUAAGGGUUAAUAAAAACGUUAAUUUUGAAUUUCUCCAACUUUGUAAUAAUAUAAAAUAUUUUUUUGACAUUCCAUGUUGUUAGCAAUAACGUUGCCCGCACUUUAUUUGAUAAGGCAGGGAGUUUAACUCUACAGUAGUUUUACUAUCUAUUAGCUUGUGUGGACAAUAUUAUAGAUAAAAAUAUAUAGGCAAUCAGCUUUAUUUUACCAAUUACGAGCAAAGGUUGUAGAUAAUUUGCAAACCCAUAAGACAAUCAUGGAUGUUCCACCUUAUAUAUUUAAAGGGUGGGGAAACAAAACCUCAAUCAAAAGCCUUUAAUGCAGGGCAUAAAAUCUCAAAACAAUCGUACCUUUGUCAUCAUUAUUAAUGGCUAUUCCAAAAUUAAUAAUCAUUAUUUAUCUAGAUUGGCUUGCCAUUACAAAACAAAUUGCUAUUAAAAUAAAAACAAACAUAAUUAAAUAAAUUUUUUAUUCGAUUAAACUAUUAAUCAAUGAAUAGAAGAGAAAUUUUUCGUGCACCGCAGGUCACGUAGAAAAUUCGAUAUGGAGCACUUCACUUUAUGUAAUUGGUCCAUGUAACCAUCACUUUUUCACGCACAUUUAAUGCCUGCAAUUUUAUUUUUGGAUCUAAAAUUUUUGAAUGAUAAGAGUGCCCUUACUUUUUGAAAAAAUUAUGAUAUUUCAUGUCCAUAUUAUGACAUCCUCCAUGUAUGAAGUCAUAAUUUUGACGCAAGAUGUCAUAAUAUGCCACAGGAUGUCAUAAUAUUUUUCAAAGAACAGAGACAUUUUCGUCAUUCAAAAUUUUCAAAUAAAAAAAUGAAACUACAUGCAUUAAAUACACAUUGAAAAGUGAUUGGAUAAAAAUACCCUUUAUAUAUUAUGACAUCUUAGACCAUAUUAUGAUAUCCUGCGUGCAGGAAGUAAUAAUUUGACGAGAAUGUCAUAAUAUACCACAGGAUGUCAUAAAUUUCUAAAUCAUAUUAUGACAUCCUGCAGGCAGAAAAUCAUAAUUUGACGUAGGAUAUUAUAAUAUGCUACAGAAUGUCAUAAUUUUUUUUCAAAAGGNNNNNNNNNNNNNNNNNNNNAUUAAAUAUAUAUUAAAAAAUAAUAAUUACGUGAAUCAAUCGUGUGUUUACAUCAAAUUUUCUAUGCCAUCGAUGAUGCCCAAAGAAUUUCUCAUGAAUAGAAGCAUAUUCGCCCAAAAUAUUGUAUUUAUUCCUGUUGCACAAUGAUGUCACAACAGAUGGUUGCCCGGAGGAAUAGCUGCAAAGCGAAAAUUUAGGGGCCCAAACUGCUUACACAAACUUUCCUAAUCCAAGGUGGUGCCCGAUAAAUAGCCCAACCCUUGGAAAUCACCGUGAAUACAACUAAUUGCCUCGUACCACAUCACUCUUGCCUUUUUUUGUAACCGAUUAACAUUGCAAGUGAACAUUGCUAAUUCCAGACAUGGAGCCAAAACUUCAUUCUACAUCGACGUGCGCGGUCGGAUGUUAAAGAUUCUUCUCGUCUUUUUGGUGGGUCCCACCAUGCUCUAUAACAUUUAAUCUAAUCUAAUCCAUACACCAUCUCGAUUCCCACAGCUAUCCGGUACAAACAUCGAUCAUGAGAAGGAAACGUAUACAAAGGUAAACCAACCCAUGAAACAACGUCGUUUGUACAUUUGAUCCAGCCUCUCUCACACUCUCCUAUUCCAGUGCCCAGGUAAAUUCCCCAUCACACAUUCCAUCGCCAAUGCCACGAAUGGCACCAAACACCAUAUGAGAACAGAAACGCGUCUGGAAACAAUGGUUGGGACGCGUACCGGUACUCUUUUUCCUUGAACCUAAGCUAUUUCCCCACGCGGUCCCAGAGGGGUAGAAAGAGGGGGAGGCUCUCAAAUCCCCAUUGAGAUCGGAUGACGUCAGCCCUAGUACACGUCCCGUCCCACGCGUCAUUCUCUCCUCUCUCUCGGUCCGUUCCCUGCUCUCGGUGCAAAGAGCAACGAUAAAUAUAUGUUGUUUUCUAAAGAUACACAAUUAUCAACAUCGAAUCUUCUAAAAUAUGUUUUACGUAAUGCACCCGCCGGAUCCACCGUCUUACGCAGGGGGGGAUGUACCUGUCCGACUUCUAAUCCCCGAGCCGAUCCCCGGGUUUUCCUUCCAAUUUCUCGCCACGAGAUCGAGAGAAAUUAAUUAUAUCCUUGAGAGAGAGAAAAAGCAAACGGAAAGCUUUUAUUGUAAGUCGUCAGUCACCUCCCAGCGACUUCCUUUGGUUGGGCGGAAUCCCGAGACCUCUUCCGGACAAUCCCAACCACACCGACAACAAAACCCAAACAUGACACCCAGCAUUUCAAGGUCUCAAGUCGUACAUGUGGGACCCACCGCAGUAGAUUUUUUUUCCUCUUUAUUUUAUGCUAUUGGUGGUGGCGCGGGGUUGACUCGUCCGGAAGUAGGGUGCCAUUGCUGGGGCCAUCGGUUUUUGGGUCCUCACGAGAAUUCCUUCGUCCCCCGAAACAUCCCGAAUCCUUCAGGCCUACGCCAACCUUUCGAUACGGCAGCGUGCUUUUCAACGUUGAUAAGCCAUCGUUGAUAAGUCCUGUUACAUAUCAGAAAUCAGCGGUCCAUAUCAAGGCGUCUACUUAAAAGCAGCCCCCACCAACCCUCACCUUCCCCCAUCUCACCCCCGCUCCCCUUUUUUCCUGCCUUCACCUCUCUUUUCGUCCUUUGUCUUUGUUUGUUAGCCUCCAAUCCAUCUCCACACCCGCCCCCCUCUUCCCCCAGGAAAUCCCCCUUCGGUCCGCUCCUUGACGGAGACUUUUCACCCCCAUCGAUUCGUGGAGAUCGAGGAAUCCGCCCCCGUCCCGAUCCGAUUCGCGGCCGCCGGAGGCGGUGGCGCGCACCCGAUCUACCCCACAUCGUUGCCGGAGGCUCCCCGACGACUUUGCAGCUUUGCCGUGAGCGGAGGCGCCGCUGGCCGCCAUGUCGUCCCUCAGCCGCGAGCUCGUCUUCCUCAUCCUCCAGUUCUUGGAUGAGGAGAAGUUCAAAGAGACCGUCCACAAGUAUGGAAUCCAAGAAUCCUCCUUCCCUUUUUCUUUAUCCUUCUUCUUUCGGUUUCAUUCUGUUUCUUGUUUUUCCUUUUCUCUUGAUCGGUUUCUUGUUCGGAUUGCGAAAGAUUGGAGCAGGAGUCGGGUGUUUUUUUCAAUACAAGGCACUUUGAGGAGGCGGUGCUCGCCGGGGACUGGGAUGAGGUGGAGAGGUACCUGUCGGGGUUUACAAAGUUGGAUGACAACCGGUACUCGAUGAAGAUCUUCUUUGAGAUCCGAAAGCAGAAGUAUCUUGAGGCCCUUGACAAGUAACCCUCUUUUCCAUCGUUAUUUAUGUUGUCAAUUUUCUGUUGCAAUGGAUUUCCCUUUUAUGUACUAUUUUUGUAUUUCUAGGCAUGAUAAGGGCAAGGCAGUAGAAAUCCUGGUUAAGGAUCUUAAGGUAUUCUCAACAUUCAAUGAAGACCUUUAUAAGGAAAUUACCCUACUCCUUACCUUGGAGAACUUCAGGUAUUGUGAUUGAAUCCAAGUAUCGGAUAUACCGAUCUCUAAGCUGUAGAAAACAUCUCAAAAUUUUGUCUUUUUGUUGAUAUUGACUGAGAAUUUAAGUGCUGGAGGUACCCAAUCUCGAUGCCAUGAGCUUUGUCAAAAUUUGUAUUUUGUUAAUUUAAGGGAGAACGAUCAGCUAUCAAAGUACGGAGAUACCAAGUCGGCCAGGGCGGUGAUGCUGGCAGAGCUCAAGAAGCUGAUUGAAGCGAAUCCCCUAUUCCGUGACAAGCUGCAGUUUCCUACGCUCAAGACAUCAAGACUUCGCACUCUCAUCAAUCAAAGGCAUGAUUUUUUGUCUGGGGAAGAAAGAAAGAAUCUUUAGUGUUAUGUGUUUUCCUUGUUUUUGGUAUCACCUGGGAUUUCUGAUGGUCUGUUUGGUGAUAUGGUGUUAUUUUGGCAGUUUAAACUGGCAACAUCAGCUCUGUAAGAACCCAAGGCCCAACCCUGAUAUUAAGACGCUUUUCUUUGACCAUUCUUGUUCCCAACCAAAUGGUGCUCGUGUGCCUUCUCCAGCCCCUCCACUCACGAAUGUCAUACCAAAACCAGGAGCAUUUCCCCAACUGGGCCCACCACAUGCGGUAAGUGAUAACAGCUGACUUAGCCAGUCAAAAACCAAAUGCGUGCAUUCUUGUUUCAAGUUGAACGCACUGACUUAGCCAUUCAAAAACUUGAUGUGUUUGUUCAUUUUCUUAUUCAGCCAUUUCAGCCAGCUGCAGCAGCUAUGCCAACAUCUCUCACAGGUUGGAUGGCUAAUGCUGCCCAAAUGCCCCACCCUGCAGUCUCUGGUGCCCCACUCGGUAGUCUAGCAACUCCUCCGAGUGCAGGUUGUUGUUUAAUCCCCUUUUUUUUGCUUUUUAAGAAGAUCUACUCCAGUAAUUCCUCUUUGUAGGCCUAUCAUAGUCAAAUGCUCAAAAUACCACACCUGUCUUUUGGCUUGCAGGCAUUGGAUUAACUCCUGUAAAUCAUAUUAAACCACUAUUCUCUCUGUGCUUUAAGAUGAUCAUAUCCCUUACUUCUGUCCUGGGUCAAUUGUUGCAUGCAUCCAUGAUGGUUACAACGAUAAAUAACUACAAUGUUUUCUAUCUGCCUCUUAAAUGCAAUUCUUAAUAUCAAUAUGAUGCCCAUUUGCACUUAUCAAGUUGUACUUACCAAGUUGACCACGUGUUGUUGAUCUGAUAGUUUUAGUUAGCAGUUUGGCGCUGUCAUUUGGUGUUGUUUUAUCCUCUAUCUUGUAUAUGUUUGUAGAUCAGUUUUUCUGAAGUUCCAUGCCCUUAUGUUAUUGGUUUGUUUUAUUUAAGUGAUGCAUGCAUGCACUGUUGUACCACUUAUGUUUUUGUCACAUUAUCUAGUAUAUGUAUUAAUUUUUUUUUAAAAUUCAUGUUGGUAGCUGCUCUCUUGAAGCGUCCUAUGACUCCCCCAAACAGCAAUCCUACCAUGGAUUAUCACACAGCAGAUUCAGAACAUGUGAUAAAGAGAUCACGCCCUAUGGGAGUUUCUGAGGAGGUCCCCCCCCACUUCUAAUUCUGUUUUUACUUUGAUUUCCAUUUCCAUGUAAUUUUUCUGUUUGUGAGAAUGCUGGCCUCUUGUGGUGUCUUUGCAAUUGUGAUCGAUAAACUUAUUCCUUCUUUUCUGGGUUUUAAAUUGGCAAAAUUUCUACAUACAUUGUUAGUUUUUGCACUUCUUCAGGACAAAAUGUUUCUAUUGCAUUUACCUUUGCAGGUUGGCCUGCCUACUGCUCAUUUGCCUGUUGCAUACUCUGGCAUUGGACGGAGCCAGCAUUCUUUUGAUGAGUUGCCCAGGACUGUUGCAGUGACUCUAAAUCAGGGUUCUGCUGUGAUGAGCAUGGAUUUCCAUCCUGUUCAAUUAACUACCCUUUUAGGUUAGAAAACUAGUGUCCAUAUUAUUUUUCCUUUAGUCACUAGGGAAGGUUUUCUUCAGGGCUUAGAUAGGUUCAGCCUUGAGUUGACUGUUAGCUUUUGUUUCCAGUUGGAACAACUACGGGUGACGUCUCACUGUGGGAUGUAGCUUCCAGAGAUAGGAUUUCUCAUAAAAGUUUCAAAGUUUGGGAUCUUCAAGCACGUUCAGCAUCCCUUCAGGUACUCUUACCAGUAGAUUGUGAGUGUACUCAUUAAAUCUCCAUCUUGGUUCUCACUUUUGUUUUUAAUUAUGAGCAGGCAACUCUGACCAAGGAUCCUACUGUAUCUGUUAACCGUGUGAUUUGGAAUUUUGAUGGUACUCAAUUUGGUAUGUUCAAAAAGAAAACUGGUCUUUCCCUAUAGAUUAUAGUUCGGUAAUAUAUAUUAUAUAAAGAGCAGCAUGGGUGAAGCAAGGACAAAGAUCUUUAUUAACUAUUUCAGGCAUUUAUGAAAUCUGGAUUGUCACCCUUUGCACUUGCAGGUGUUGCAUACUCCAAACAUCUUGUGCACUUGUUUACAUACAAUGGUCGUGGUGACAUAUCAAACCCCUUAGAGGUGAUUUUAUGAGCUAAUGUGUUUCUUUAUACACUACUAAGUUGUACUGUCUAAUUAUAUUGGUGAAUUUUUAAGCAUGUAUGCCAUUACAAUUUCUUACUAUGCCUCUGUGAGAAUUGCAGAAAGGAUUUCUUUCUAACACUUUCAUGACUUUUCAGAUUGAAGCACAUGUUGGUGCAGUUAAUGAUGUUGCCUUCUCUCAACCUAACAGACAAGUGUGCAUUGUGACCUGUGGAGAUGACAAGACUAUCAAGGUUACCCCAAUCAUGUUCACAAGUUAGCUAGUUUUGAUGCAUUUGUCAUUAAUUAUUAUCUAACUUCAGGUUUGGGAGGCUGGUACUGGUGUGCUUCAGUACACUUUCGAAGGUCAUGAAGCCCCUGUGUACUCCAUAUGCCCACAUUUUAAGGAAAAUAUUCAGGUAACAUGCUUUUCAGAAUUUAUAUACUUAUUUAAGCAACCUAAAAGCCUUGAGCUAAUAAUUCCGUAUUCACCUAAAUACUUGUGUUGAAACUCCUUUCAGGGCUUUUAUAAGUUCAUUGGAUUCUUACAUUUCUGCUUUUUCAGUUCAUCUUUUCAACUUCUGUUGAUGGGAAGAUUAAAGCAUGGCUGUACGAUAAUGCGGGCUCAAGAGUUGAUUAUACAGCACCUGGUCAAUGGUGCACUACUAUGGCUUAUAGUGCUGAUGGAACAAGGUCAAUAUGAUGAUCAUUUAUCCUUUUUCUCUGCUUGCUUGAUAUUUUUUAAGCAUAACAUGUCAGUUUCUAAUAGAAGUUCUAACAGUUUUUUUUUCCUCAUCUAAUGAUGCUUCAUGGACACAAUUAGGCUGUUUUCUUGUGGGACUGGCAAGGAUGGAACUUCCUAUAUCGUUGAAUGGAAUGAGUCUGAAGGGACCAUAAAACGGACGUAUGAUGGUUUACGCAAGCAACCUAUCGGCGUGGUACAAUUUGAUACAAUAAAAAAUCGGUUCUUAGCUGCUGGAGAUGAGCAUAUGGUUAAGUUUUGGGACAUGGACAAUACCAACCUCCUGAUAACCACUGAUGCGGAUGGUGGUUUACCGGUAACUAGUCCAAUAGCAAUCCUUACACUUUGUCCUUAAUCAUGUUGGUGAGAGGUUGUGAUUCACUGAAUGAAUACAACCUCAUAUGUCCAGGCAUUACCACGUGUCAGAUUUAACAAGGGUGGGGCUUUGCUGGCUGUCUCGACAAAUAAUAACUAUAUUAAAGUAUUAGCAAAUGCUGAUGGUCAGCUGCUGCUUUCCCUUGAAAAUCGUUCAUAUGUUGCUGCCCGAUCAGCUUCUGAGUCCAUUAUGAAGGUAGCUAGCUAUCAUAUUUAUGUUUUAAGUUUGCAUGGUCUGUCCUUAUCUAAUUGUGCAAUCCAUAUGUGAUAAUCAAUUAUAAUCAUCAGACUGUGGUGCAGGCACCGAUCAUUAGCCCAUUGGGAACUGUCAGUGCAAUGGCUGGACCUAGUGCUUCAGUUGCUGAUAGAGGUGCUCCAGUGGCAACCAUUGUUGCAUUGGUAAUAUAAAGUUUGUAGUUUGUAAUAUGUGCCUCAAGUGUUCAGCUAUUUGAUAACAGAUUGCCUUUUUCUUUAAAUAAAUUUGGUUUUUGACUUUUUGUCCAUAGAUUGCUUAGCCUUAGACAAUGAGGAUUAUUUUAAGCAUGUUAUGCUUGGGUCAGUGGUAACUUGCUAUAACAUGUUACUUCCAAAUUUACAACAGAAUGGAGAUAAUCGGAGUCUGGGAGAGGUGAAGCCCAGGAUGAUUGAUGAAUCAAUUGAGAAAUCUAAGAUUUGGAAGUUGACUGAAAUCAACGAACCAUCUCAGUGCCGUUCUCUGAAGCUUCCAGAUAGUCUGGUAGCAGCUAAGGUAAGAAUGUUAAACCAAUGCAAACACUAUACAAUUUGGGAAUGAAGCUAUCUCUAUUGAUUUGGCACUGCAUUAAGCAUAAUAUCACCCUUUAAUAGGAUAACUUUAGGAUGAUGUUGCUUUUCCAUUUUUCACAUGUUAAUCCUUCUGGCAUAGUGGUACUUAGUACCGUGGCAUGCUCAACAAAUCAAGUGUUAAUUUGAUCUCUCAAAGGGUAUCAGACAUAACCAGAACUGUUUUGGAAAUUGCUUAGUUUUAUCAUUACAUGAUGCAAGUGGAAAUUCACAUUUCUUGCUGUAUAAUAUUACAUAUAUAUAUGUAUGUAUAUAUAUUAUAUUAUAUAAAAUAUAUAAUAUAUAAUAUAUCUUACUCAAAUGCCUAGGCCCUUUUUUAUCAAAUGCUGGCCUGAAAAUUACAAUACCCAAAAUUCAAAUAUUUGAGCUUGGAUCCAUGCUCUUGAGCAUGCAUCCAGGCAUUGCAUCAUGAUUUCACAAAACAUCUCCCUAGAUUUAGUGAUUUUCGAGAGAUUUAGGCCCAAAUUUUGAGGAAAAAAAAUAAAGGGAGCAAGUUUCUUACCCUAGUGGAUGGUGUUUGAAGCUUAAAUAUGUGGAUUUAUGGUGGAAGAGCCUGAGAUCCCAAGCUUCUGACCUUCCCGUCCUUCUCCCUGCAUGUUUUGCCAACAGAACCAUUGAAUGGAGAGAAAAAAAGAGAAGACGAAGAGGUUCCAAGCAUGUUUCAGCCUUGAACUGGUUGGUUUGGGUGCGAAGCAACAGUCGUUCAGCCCAAAUCACUCGAGCCGCUAGUGGUUCAAGCUGUUGCUCCCAAUCCGCCCUUGAACCAGUCCAGUGCGAACUGAUCCACCUUGGAACAGUUUGAACGACACAGCUCAUCUACCGAACUGGGUGAUUUUUUAAUCUUGUUUUAACUCAACUCC